This 336-nucleotide ribosomal RNA is filed under the name Triticum aestivum (bread wheat). RNAcentral describes it as "partial small subunit ribosomal RNA". The record is from RNAcentral. Lineage: Eukaryota; Viridiplantae; Streptophyta; Magnoliopsida; Poales; Poaceae.
AUGUAUGACAAGCUCAAGGGUUGUGAGCUUCAGAAAGUGAAGCUGCGGGAUGGGAAGAAUAUGAUGUGUGAUUCGAGACGGCAUUGCGUAUGUGCCCCACCUCCUACACUUCGUCUCCUCGGCCCUAAAGGCACUAGCAGGCACACACAGAACCGGAAGCGCCCCUUGUUUCAGCCAUUCAUUCCUUUUUAUGAAAGAACUAUAAGGAACAGAAAAAUAUUAAAGAAACAAACGUAUUCAAUAAGCAAGAGGAGAGAGAGGGAUUCAAACCCUCGUCGGGCCAAGAAAAAGAUUGAGCCAUUGUGCAGGGACGUUGAGCUCAAGGAUCUUCUGUAG